Long non-coding RNA from Epinephelus fuscoguttatus (brown-marbled grouper), 589 nucleotides. RefSeq lists it as uncharacterized. The record is from RefSeq and is a predicted model, not a curated record. The transcript has 3 exons. Lineage: Eukaryota; Metazoa; Chordata; Actinopteri; Perciformes; Serranidae.
CUGAUCAUGCGCUGUGCAUGUGAACUCAGAUAUCCCACACUGCCUAUGUCCCUGAACGCCUCAAAGACGUGUAGAUCAGCGUGGAGACAUCAGAUGAAUGUUUCUGCAGUGUGUGCGUCCAUAAAACCUAAACCACACACACACACCUAUAGAUAAACAGACUGAACUUUAUAUCUGGACUCCGCCUUUUAUUUCUACACACUCAUCUGAACAUUAAAGGAGUGUCCUGACCCGACACCCUGAAGCGAUUGCUGCCACCCAAGAUCCAUACACGCUGUCUGUCAUACAGAGGCAGCGAAUUCAAAGUGUGCCUCUCUUGAGAAGACCAAACAGAGGCUUCACAGUGAGGUGGAGGACCUCAUGAUUGAUGUGGAGAGGGCCAAUGGGCUGGCUGCCAACCUGGACAAGAAGCAGAGGAACUUUGACAAGGUGUUGGCUGAGUGGAAACAGAAGUACGAGGAGGGUCAGGCAGAACUUGAGGGAGCAUAGAAGGAGGCUUGUUCUCUCAGCACUGAGCUGUUCAAGAUGAAGAACUCUUUUGAGGAAACUCUGAAUCAGCUGGAGACCAUGAAGCGUGAAAACAAGAACC